This is a long non-coding RNA of Cornus florida, 427 nucleotides long. RefSeq lists it as uncharacterized. Lineage: Eukaryota; Viridiplantae; Streptophyta; Magnoliopsida; Cornales; Cornaceae. The record is from RefSeq and is a predicted model, not a curated record. The transcript has 3 exons.
AUGGUGGUGGGACCCACCACCCACUCAUUUUGUGACUUAACGACCACAAAUUGGGUCUCAAAUCUCACAUCUCCCUGUCUUUUGAGGCAAAACGGAGAGCACGACGAGUUCUAUGCGUGAGUACCAUCAAUUUCAACUUUGAGCCUCCUUAAAGACUUCGAAUUUGGAGACCCAUUUUAAGGGUUUUGCAUCAAUUUGAGGACAUGGCAAGGAAUUGGCGGAUAAUAAUCCACCACAGAACUAAGGGAACUUAAAGAGCAUUUUGAAUAUAUUUUGUUGAAUUUGAACUUAUUUUGUAAAGCACAUGAUGUAAAAUGUAUUAAGUUCAUUUGGUAUGUAAAAGAUAAUGUAAUUAGAAACUUGAAAUCCAUUUUGAUGUAAAUGGAACUAAUGUAAGCACUAUGUUUAACCUCAUGUAAUUGUAAUA